UGAGGAGCGAAAGCGUGGGGAGCGAACAGGAUUAGAUACCCUGGUAGUCCACGCCGUAAACGAUGAGUGCUAAGUGUUAGGGGGUUUCCGCCCCUUAGUGCUGCAGCUAACGCAUUAAGCACUCCGCCUGGGGAGUACGGUCGCAAGACUGAAACUCAAAGGAAUUGACGGGGGCCCGCACAAGCGGUGGAGCAUGUGGUUUAAUUCGAAGCAACGCGAAGAACCUUACCAGGUCUUGACAUCCUCUGACAAUCCUAGAGAUAGGACGUCCCCUUCGGGGGCAGAGUGACAGGUGGUGCAUGGUUGUCGUCAGCUCGUGUCGUGAGAUGUUGGGUUAAGUCCCGCAACGAGCGCAACCCUUGAUCUUAGUUGCCAGCAUUCAGUUGGGCACUCUAAGGUGACUGCCGGUGACAAACCGGAGGAAGGUGGGGAUGACGUCAAAUCAUCAUGCCCCUUAUGACCUGGGCUACACACGUGCUACAAUGGACAGAACAAAGGGCAGCGAAACCGCGAGGUUAAGCCAAUCCCACAAAUCUGUUCUCAGUUCGGAUCGCAGUCUGCAACUCGACUGCGUGAAGCUGGAAUCGCUAGUAAUCGCGGA
This 601-nucleotide ribosomal RNA is filed under the name Bacillus subtilis. Its description in RNAcentral is "bacterial SSU rRNA". It matches the Rfam family "Bacterial small subunit ribosomal RNA", at positions 747 to 1348 of the family's 1533-position model. The record is from RNAcentral. Lineage: Bacteria; Bacillati; Bacillota; Bacilli; Caryophanales; Bacillaceae.